This 529-nucleotide ribosomal RNA is filed under the name Nocardia nova. RNAcentral's name for it is "bacterial SSU rRNA". It matches the Rfam family "Bacterial small subunit ribosomal RNA", at positions 111 to 654 of the family's 1533-position model. The record is from RNAcentral. Lineage: Bacteria; Bacillati; Actinomycetota; Actinomycetes; Mycobacteriales; Nocardiaceae.
UAACACGUGGGUGAUCUGCCUCGCACUCUGGGAUAAGCCUGGGAAACUGGGUCUAAUACCGGAUAUGACCACGAAUCGCAUGGUUUGUGGUGGAAAGAUUUAUCGGUGCGAGAUGGGCCCGCGGCCUAUCAGCUUGUUGGUGGGGUAAUGGCCUACCAAGGCGACGACGGGUAGCCGACCUGAGAGGGUGACCGGCCACACUGGGACUGAGACACGGCCCAGACUCCUACGGGAGGCAGCAGUGGGGAAUAUUGCACAAUGGGCGAAAGCCUGAUGCAGCGACGCCGCGUGAGGGAUGACGGCCUUCGGGUUGUAAACCUCUUUCGACAGGGACGAAGCGCAAGUGACGGUACCUGUAGAAGAAGCACCGGCCAACUACGUGCCAGCAGCCGCGGUAAUACGUAGGGUGCGAGCGUUGUCCGGAAUUACUGGGCGUAAAGAGCUUGUAGGCGGUUCGUCGCGUCGAUUGUGAAAACUUGCAGCUCAACUGCAAGCUUGCAGUCGAUACGGGCGGACUAGAGUACUUCAG